CUUCUUGUAGUAAAAUAAUUUCAUGUAAAGCAUAGUAGUGCUGUGAUGUAGUAUUAUUAUUAACAUAUUAAUUAACCUUAGUACUAUAGUAAUAUACUAUAUUGUUUGUAGUAUAUUAUUGCAUUGUAUUAUUAAUAACUCGAAACUUAUUGCUGGCACUUGAAAAACGAUGCUCUUGAGAUAUUUCUCCAGUUUAUCCUAUCGAUAUUUCUUUAUUAACUCAGCAUAGAGACCUUUUAAGUAAAUCUCCAAACGGAGCGAUUCAAAUUUAAUGGAACGAUAAGCACUACAGUUGAUGAAAAUUACUAGUAUCUUCUUCGAUCAACACUGUCUUUGUGACCAAAUACACUUCUGCCAUUAAAUAGAAAUCAUUGAAAAUAUAUACGUUUUAAAUCACAUCUAUUGCUGAAAGAAACUAUUUAGAGAAAUAACGGGUUAAAUAAAGUACCCGAGAUCUUUUGAGAGAUUUUUAGUAAAAUAUCCCAAGAAUUGUUUUCGAUUUGAACAAAAAACGGUCACAAAAGAGGUCAUCGCUACGUAGCCACACUUCCCGUUAACGUUAGCCCACCUCUUCGGAAAUUACAAUUGUUUAUAAGAAGGAAUAUCCAGUUAGUUUUGUUUACGUCGUUAUUGCCGGUUGUCUAGAUUGUUUUGAAAAACUGUUUUACCGACAGAAUAACAAAACUUGUACCAAUGCCAAUUUCCUGUAUUGUAAAUAAUGCGUAAAAAAAUAAAAAUUUCAAAAAUAGUCUGAAUUUCGAUCGAAUAUUACGGAUUUUGUACUUAUAAAAAAAAGGUAGGCCUAUUUAUUUUUUAAGAAAAUACUUCAUUUCGAUGUUGCUGUUUUA
Long non-coding RNA from Centruroides sculpturatus (bark scorpion), 848 nucleotides. RefSeq lists it as uncharacterized. NCBI's taxonomy places the organism in Eukaryota, Metazoa, Arthropoda, Arachnida, Scorpiones, Buthidae. The transcript has 4 exons. The record is from RefSeq and is a predicted model, not a curated record.